Molecule: ribosomal RNA, 447 nt
Filed under: uncultured bacterium
Lineage: Bacteria
Description: bacterial SSU rRNA
Rfam family: Bacterial small subunit ribosomal RNA
Source: RNAcentral
UGAGGGAUAUUGCACAAUGGGCGCAAGCCUGAUGCAGCGACGCCGCGUGGGUGAAGAAGGUUUUCGGAUCGUAAAACCCUUUCUGUGUGACGAGCAAGGACGGUAGCACAGGAAUAAGUCUCGGCUAACUACGUGCCAGCAGCCGCGGUAAAACGUAGGAGACAAACGUUAUCCGGAGUUACUGGGCGUAAAGGGCGUGCAGGCGGCAGUCUAAGUCUGGCGUGAAAUUUCCCGGCUUAACCGGGGGAGGUCGUCGGAUACUGGGCAGCUCGAGGGCGGUAGAGGCGUGUGGAAUUCCGGGUGUAGUGGUGAAAUGCGUAGAGAUCCGGAGGAACACCAGUGGCGAAGGCGACACGCUGGGCCGCACCUGACGCUAAGACGCGACAGCAUGGGGAGCGAACAGGAUUAGAUACCCCAGUAGUCCCUGAGCGGGCUGGCAAGGCGCAU